RNAcentral lists this small RNA (156 nucleotides) under Arabidopsis thaliana (thale cress). RNAcentral's name for it is "ATSL089560". Lineage: Eukaryota; Viridiplantae; Streptophyta; Magnoliopsida; Brassicales; Brassicaceae. The record is from RNAcentral.
AUUACGAUGAAAUCUAAGUGUUGAGUUCGCUCUUCACAAGACUAGAUUUCAUCCCUCAAAGAUUUUUUCAAGUUCCACCUCUUGGAAAAUAUAUUCAUUUCGGUGAAAUCUAAGUGUUGAGCUCGCUCUCCACAAUACUAGAUUUCAUCCCUCAAA